UACGUAGGGGGCUAGCGUUGUCCGGAAUCAUUGGGCGUAAAGCGCGUGUAGGCGGCCCGGUAAGUCCGCUGUGAAAGUCGGGGGCUCAACCCUCGGAUGCCGGUGGAUACUGUCGGGCUUGAGUACGGAAGAGGCGAGUGGAAUUCCUGGUGUAGCGGUGAAAUGCGCAGAUAUCAGGAGGAACACCGAUUGCGAAGGCAGCUCGCUGGGACGUAACUGACGCUGAGACGCGAAAGCGUGGGGAGCAAACAGG
Molecule: ribosomal RNA, 253 nt
Filed under: uncultured bacterium
Lineage: Bacteria
Description: partial 16S ribosomal RNA
Rfam family: Bacterial small subunit ribosomal RNA
Source: RNAcentral